UGGUUUUGAGCCCUAACGAGAAAGAGAGAUCGACAGCGCUUUGGAUCCGUCGUGCUUCGCCUUCUUCCAUCCGUGCCCUCGUUAUCUCCUCAUAGCGGUCAACGUCUCCAUCGCCUCUUCCUCCUCAAAUCGAUUCCAGUUCUGAGGUAGUAGUAUCAGAAUGAACUGGGUCGCCAGGAAGAUCCAUCUUUACAACGUCACCAUGGGGCUCUACAUGCUCGAUUGGUGGGAGCGCUACCUCUUCAACAUAUUGAUCCUUGUACUGCUCUGGUUCGUCUUCUACAACGGUUCCAGAUCUGCCACGGAAUUAUACAACGGUUACAUUAAACCAAAAAUGUUGGCUGGCCCAUGUUUUGCAGUCAAAGGAAACAUCAUCACAUAAAAGGACAAGAUAUUAGAUGAGAUAAGGUUGUGUUGUAAGUUAGAUUCCUGGUAAUGUUGUUGCCUUUGUGUUGGACAUUAUCUCUCGUUUACCUUCUCAAGUGAAGGCAAAUGUAAUUGGUGUCUUUUUCACGUCUAUCUAAUGUAUCAUUUCCCCA
This is a long non-coding RNA of Zingiber officinale, 539 nucleotides long. RefSeq lists it as uncharacterized. The record is from RefSeq and is a predicted model, not a curated record. NCBI's taxonomy places the organism in Eukaryota, Viridiplantae, Streptophyta, Magnoliopsida, Zingiberales, Zingiberaceae. The transcript has 3 exons.